This is a long non-coding RNA of Pan troglodytes (chimpanzee), 4075 nucleotides long. RefSeq lists it as uncharacterized. The transcript has 3 exons. The record is from RefSeq and is a predicted model, not a curated record. NCBI's taxonomy places the organism in Eukaryota, Metazoa, Chordata, Mammalia, Primates, Hominidae.
GAAGGUUAGAGGACUUGCUAUUUGGAAAAGCAAACGGGGAGGAAGAGUAAUUCAGAAGGGGGAAAGUGUUUAGAAAGGCACUGUGAGAUUUCAAGGAAAUACCCAUAACUUAUAAGGCAAGAAUAGAGAAAACUCACAGGGGUGAGAAGUGGCAAGAAAUGAAGCCGGUAAGACAAGAGGGGCCAAAUAAGAAGGCCACAUGGACCAUGCUAAGAGGUCUGCAUUUCAUCUUGCUCAGCCAUUGAGACAGACAGUGAGUCAAAUAUUUACCCAGGGCCUAGUAUGUGCCAGGGAAUGUGAAAGCAAAAGCAACACAGUUUCUGUCCUGCCUCCCCAGAGGGCGCAGUCAGGUGAGAAAGGACGUGCCUAAAUAGACUGGAGGUGAACAUGGAAUGUUAGGGGAACACAGGUGAGGACUGCUCAACUGCACCUGAAGGGAGAAAGAGGCAAUCACUUUGGGAGAUGAUGCCUGCACUGCUUCUUAAGAAACAAUUAGGAGUCAGCUGAGCAAAUCAGGCAAUCACAAAGACUACAUUUGAUUGUGGGUAACUGAAACCCCAGAAAACAAAACCGAGGAUAAUGGGGGACCACCGCAUAUAUCUCAGAGAUGGAGCCUCACUCUGUUGCCCAACUUGGAGUGCAGUGGUGCGAUCUCGGCUCACUGCAACCUUCACCUCCCGGGUUCAAGCGAAUUCUCCUGCCUCAGCCUCCCGAGUAGCUGGGAUCACAGGCACCCACCACCACACCCGGCUAAUGCUUUGUAUUUUUAGUAGAGAUGGGGUUUCGCCAUGUUGGCCAGGCUGGUCUGGAACUCCUAACCUCAGGUGAUCCACCCGCCUUGGCCUUCCAAAGUGCUGGGAUUACAGGUGUGAGCCACUGCACUGCACCCGGCCUUGAAUGCUACUUUUAAGACACAGUAGCUUUAUAACAGGAUCACACUUUACUGCUUCUCUAAGUCUAUUGAAAAGUGGUCAUUAGUAGACUGAGCAAGUCUGCAAAAAGUUAAGUUCAUUUCAGCAAAACAAAAUUACCCAUUCUCAGCAAAUAUGAAGCACCUAUUGAAUACCCAAGUAUCAUAUUAAGUGCUAGGGAUCAGUGGUUACACACACACACACACACACACACACACACAUUUUCUGCCCUUAUGGAACUAAUGAUCUACUCUUAGAGUGAGAGUGACAGCAAAAGUGAGACAGUGCGAGGGGUGGUGUGUGAGAGGAACCAUAAUAUUAACAUAACAAUGUUUUGGAUAAAGGAAAACUUGUCUGAGGAAGUGACAAAUGUAAGAAAAUAUGGAGAAGGAAAAAGACAGGAAAGAACAUGCAAAAAGUCCUGAGAUAGAAAAGGGGUGAGCAACUCCUGGAAGAGAAAGCACAAUUGAUAUGGCUAGAGAAUGUAGCAUCCUAAGGGCAAAGAAAAGUCACUAAAGGGUUGAGCAAGGAAGAUACAUGUAACUUAGAAUCUAUGAAGAUGCUUGCUGGAUCGGGAAUUAGGGGUGAGGGUGGGGUGACAGAACUUGAGGAAAAGGACUAGGUAGGAGUCCAGGUGUGUGAUAAGGACUGUCUGAGCUAGGGUGACUGGCAGUGGUAACAGAGAAAAAAAAGUACAGAUUUGAUUUAUACUUUGGAUAGAGAACUGAAAUGGAUGUAGUGAGGAUGAAUACAGCAGGUGAGGGGAAAAUGCUGAUGACUCUUAGAUGGUGGGCAGAAGCAACUUGAUGGAUACAGGCACCAUUGAUGGAGAUGAAAAGGUUUAUGGAGAAAGCUUAAGAGUUCUCUUGGGAGAUGGGACAUGUGAGGUAUGAGUGUUGAUGUUAACAGUAAGGCAGCUCUCAGGACAGGAUAAGGGCUCAGAGUUUCAGCUGGACUAUCAAUUUGGAACAUAUUGGCAUGUGGAUGUCAUGUAAAGUCAUAGAAAUUGAUGAAAAAGGCUAAGGUAAGAGUUUAAGUACAGAAAAGGGCUUUAGGAACAAGCUUUUUAAAAGUUCUAAUGUUUAAAACCAAAAAGCAUAAAAAGAAAUGGCAAAAGGGGGGGAAGAAAGCCAGGAGUAUGCUGUCACAGAAGCCAAAAGAGGGUGGGGCUGUACUACCUAGUUCAUCUGUUGAGGUCAAGUAAAGAAGGUGGUGAAGUUUCUCAAAAUGUGCCUUCUACUCUCCCCUAGAAUGCAUGUAAACAAUUCACUCCCAUGGUUCUUGAAAAAAAGAAAAACCCCAAACCAGAAACAUACUAAGUUAGAAGAACAAUUUUUUAAAAUUUAUCUAUUAUAGCCAAAUCAUGAGUGAACUCCCAUUCACAAUUGCUUCAAAGAGAGUAAAAUACCUAGGAAUCCAACUUACAAGGGACGUGAAGGACCUCUUCAAGGAGAACUACAAACCACUGCUCAAUGAAAUAAAAGAGGAUACAAACAAAUGGGAGAAUAUUCCAUGCUCAUGGGUAGGAAGAAUCAAUAUCAUGAAACUGGCCAUACUGCCCAAGGUAAUUUAAAGAUUCAAUGCCAUCCCCAUCGAGCUACCAAUGACUUUCUUCACAGAAUUGGAAAAAACUACUUUAAAGUUCAUAUGGAACCAAAAAAGAGCCCGCAUCGCCAAGUCAAUCCUAAGCCAAGAGAACAAAGCUGGAGGCAUCACGCUACUUGACUUCAAACUGUACUACAAGGCUACAGUAACCAAAACAGCAUGGUACUGGUAUCAAAACAGAGAUAUAGACCAAUGGAACAGAACAGAGCCCUCAGAAAUAGUGCCACACAUCUACAACCAUCUGAUCUUUGACAAACCUGACAAAAACAAGAAAUGGGGAAAGGAUUCCCUAUUUAAUAAAUGGUGCUGGGAAAACUGGCUAGCCAUAUGUAGAAAGCUGAAACUGGAUCCCUUCCUUACACCUUAUACAAAAAUUAAUUCAAGAUGGAUUAAAGACUUAGAUGUUAGACCUAAAACCAUAAAAACCCUAGAAGAAAACCUAGGCAAUACCAUUCAGGACAUAGGCAUGGGCAAGGACUUCAUGUCUAAAACACCAAAAACAAUGGCAACAAAAGCCAAAAUUGACAAAUGGGAUCUAAUUAAAUUAAAGAGCUUCUGCACAGCAAAAGAAACUACCAUCAGAGUGAACAGGCAACCUACAGAAUGGGAGAAAAUUUUUGCCAUCUACCCAUCUGACAAAGGGCUAAUAUCCAAAAUCUACAAAGAACUCAAACAAAUUUACAAGAAAAAAACAACCCCAUCAAAAAGUGGAUGAAGAACAUAAACAGACACUUCUCAAAAGAAGACAUUUAUGCAGCCAAAAGACACAUGAAAAAAUGCUCAUCAUCUCUGGCCAUCAGAGAAAUGCAAAUCAAAACCACAAUGAGAUACCAUCUCACACCAGUUAGAAUGGCAAUAAUUAAAAAGUCAGGAAACAACAGGUGCUGGAGAGGAUGUGGAGAAAUAGGAACACUUUUACACUGUUGGUGGGACUGUAAACUAGUUCAACCAUUGUGGAAGUCGGUGUGGCGAUUCCUCAGGGAUCUAGAACUACAAAUACCAUUUGACCCAGCCAUCCCAUUACUGGGUAUAUAUCCAAAGGAUUAUAAAUCAUGCUGCUAUAAAGACACAUGCACACGUAUGUUUAUUGCAGCACUAUUCACAAUAGCAAAGACUUGGAACCAAGCCAAAUGUCCAACAAUGAUAGACUGGAUUAAGAAAAUGUGGUACAUAUACACCAUGGAAUACUAUGCGGCCAUAAAAAAGGAUGAGUUAAUGUCCUUUGUAGGGACAUGGAUGAAGCUGGAAACCAUCACUCUCAGCAAACUAUCACAAGGACAAAAAACCAAACACCACAUGUUCUCACUCAUAGGUGGGAAUUGAACAAUGAGAACACUUGGACACAGGAAGGGGAACAUCACACACCAGGGCCUGUUGUGGGGUGGGGGGAGAAAGGAAGGAUAGCAUUAGGAGAUAUACCUAAUGUAAAUGACAAGUUAAUGGGUGCAGCACACCAACAUGGCACAUGUAUACAUAUGUAACAAACCUGCACGUUGUGCCCAUGUACCCUAAAACUUAAAGUAUAAUUAAAUAAAAAAAUUUAUCUAUUACAUUUUCUU